UAAAAAAAUAAGAUGGAUAAUAAUUAACAUUAUAAAGUAUGUAGGUAUAUGUACUUUAUAAAGUGUUUUAUAAACUUGAGUAUGUAUUUAAUUAAAAUUAUAGAGCAACAUUAAGAUCAUCAGUUCUCACCUGACAAGAAGCAGAAGAAGAGAAAAUGGAGGAUUUUCAUUCUGAUGCAGAAAAGUUGUUAAACUUCAGAAGAACAGCGUCUGACACUUCAGUCUGUCUGCAUCUGUCAGAUCAUCAGAAAACUGACGUAACUCAGAGAAGAUGAUCUGCAGGAUCCUGCUGCUCAUCAUCCUCACCUCAUGUGUCUCUGGAUCAUUUGUAGUCAAUGUGACACAGACCUCCUAUCAGGCAGAGGAGAACCACAACAUCACACUGGAGUGGACGUUCACCACCAAACCUGACAGAUCCACCAAAACCCUUUUUAUCUACUGUGAAAUGAAAACUGAGCUUAAAUCCUCAGUCCUGUAUCAUGUUCAUGAAGGUGUUGAGGUGUCAGGGUCUCAGGAUGAAAAGUUUUCAGGACGAGUCCAGAGUGACAAAGACGCCCUCAGAGAAGGACGAAUCAGACUU
Oreochromis aureus is the source of this 580-nucleotide long non-coding RNA. The record is from Ensembl. NCBI's taxonomy places the organism in Eukaryota, Metazoa, Chordata, Actinopteri, Cichliformes, Cichlidae.